This 433-nucleotide ribosomal RNA is filed under the name uncultured bacterium. Its description in RNAcentral is "partial 16S ribosomal RNA". It matches the Rfam family "Bacterial small subunit ribosomal RNA", at positions 29 to 507 of the family's 1533-position model. The record is from RNAcentral.
AACGAACGCUGGCGGCAUGCCUAACACAUGCAAGUCGAACGGUGCCUUCGGGCAUAGUGGCGCACGGGUGCGUAACGCGUGGGAAUCUGCCUUUCGGUUCGGAAUAACUCAGGGAAACUUGAGCUAAUACCGGAUAACGUCGCAAGACCAAAGAUUUAUCACCGAAAGAUGAGCCCGCGUAGGAUUAGCUAGUUGGUGAGGUAAAGGCUCACCAAGGCGACGAUCCUUAGCUGGUCUGAGAGGAUGAUCAGCCACACUGGGACUGAGACACGGCCCAGACUCCUACGGGAGGCAGCAGUGGGGAAUAUUGGACAAUGGGCGAAAGCCUGAUCCAGCAAUGCCGCGUGAGUGAUGAAGGCCUUAGGGUUGUAAAGCUCUUUUACCCGGGAAGAUAAUGACGGUACCGGGAGAAUAAGCCCCGGCUAACUCCGUG